AAACCGUUCUCUCUUUCUGCACUUCCCCUCUUUUCAUUGUAUAAUCGAGAGUUUAAUAGUUGGGUAGUGGUAAUGUGGCACCCAUAAACAUAUCAAAUGGCAGUCCCAUAAAAUCUUAUUUUUCUUAUGUGUGCAGGGGUGGUCUGAGAGAGUCUCAAUUUAGCCAAGUACUGAAUAUCGAGGUUGAUCAAAUAAUGAAGAAUAUGGGUCAGGGGACACCUCCAAAGAUUACAGUGAUCAUUGCUCAAAAGAAUCACCACACAGAACUGUUCCAACCGGAUGCGCCAGACAGUUCUCCUCCACUUGUGUUGCCUCGACGCCCCUUUGCUGAAAAAGCUGCAACCCAUUGAGUUCCAGUGUGUAGCCUGACUCAUCCUUCUUAAGGGUGCACAGGUAGUAAGGAAGGUCAUACGCCUCUCUGACCGAGCACAUGAGAAGACUGUUCAAGAUGGCGAUUAUUACAGGCAGAAACUGCAGAGGUUCAGAAAAAUGCUGCCAUUCCUUUGUUUAAGCGAGUGUGCCUCUGGUUCACUAUGAACGGCUGAUAGUUCUCUUCAUAUAAUUACUGCUGAUACAUGUAGGAUAAUACCGAUUGUUACAAUUGAUAAUAAUAAUUAUGUGGCAUGUGCAUCCUGCUUGGUUUAAGAGUUUCAGGACCUGUUAUAACGAAUUCUGAAGGUUGUCAAGCUUGUGAUUGAGAAGACUGUUAUGGAUGCA
Lolium rigidum is the source of this 717-nucleotide long non-coding RNA. RefSeq lists it as uncharacterized. The transcript has 4 exons. The record is from RefSeq and is a predicted model, not a curated record. NCBI's taxonomy places the organism in Eukaryota, Viridiplantae, Streptophyta, Magnoliopsida, Poales, Poaceae.